This is a microRNA precursor of Vulpes vulpes (red fox), 58 nucleotides long. Ensembl annotates it as microRNA 339. Its record names the gene MIR339. Lineage: Eukaryota; Metazoa; Chordata; Mammalia; Carnivora; Canidae. The record is from Ensembl.
UCCCUGUCCUCCAGGAGCUCACUUAUAUCUGGCCGUGAGCUCCUCGAGGCCAGAGCCC